UUCCCACCGAGCCUCGCGGCGAAGAGAGGCGAUAAAAGGGGGCGGCAGCGCAGGUGCCGCGGUGGAGGGCAGGUGCGGGUGGCGGGUUUGGGUCAGCUGAGGAGCGGAGCUCCCGAGGCCUCAUGAAGCCGCAAGAGCCGCCGCAGAGCGGCCCCGCCACGGCCGCGCUGGAGGCGCUGAAGCAGCGGGCGUGCGAGAGCGUGGAUCUGAACGCUGCGCGUCUGGGCGCGCUGAGCCGCGACAUCUGGAGCCGUCCCGAGCUGGCGUACGCGGAGCACCAGGCGCACGACGCCCUGACCCGCUUCUUCUGCGGCGGGGACCUGCCCGGCGCCGCCUGGGCCGUGCAGCCGCGCUACAAGCUGGGCACAGCUUUCCGCGCCGACUGGGGCUCGGCGGCCCCGCAGGACCCGCUGCGCCUCGCCUUCCUCUGCGAGUACGACGCGCUGCCCGGGCUCGGGCACGCGUGCGGCCACAACCUCAUCGCCGAGGUGGGAGCCGCCGCCGCGCUGGCGCUGAAGGCCGCCCUGGAGAGCCUGGCGGAGCCCGUGGCCGUGCAGAUCACGGUGCUGGGGACGCCCGCGGAAGAGCAAGGAGGAGGCAAAAUAGACCUCAUCAAGGCGGGAGCCUUCGAUGGCCUGGAUGUGGUUUUCAUGGCGCACCCCUCGCAAGAAAACGCUGCUUACCUGCCCGACGUGGCCGAGCAUGAUGUGACUGUGAAAUACUAUGGAAAAGCUUCUCAUGCUGCUGCUUAUCCUUGGGAAGGAGUUAAUGCAUUAGAUGCUGCUGUUCUUGCGUACAACAAUCUGUCUGUUUUAAGACAGCAGAUGAAACCGACCUGGAGAGUUCAUGGUGUAAUAAAAAAUGGUGGUGUGAAACCUAACAUCAUUCCUUCUUACACUGAGCUGGAGUUUUACUUGCGUGCUCCUUCAAGGAAAGAGCUUUCUGUUCUGACAGAGAAGGUUGAAAACUGCUUCAAAUCUGCAGCAGUGGCCACAGGAUGCAAGGUGGAAAUAAAAGGUGGUGAAAAUGAUUACUACAAUGUGCUUCCAAAUAAGAGCCUGCAGAAAAUUUACAAGGAGAAUGGAAAGAAGCUUGGAAUAGAUUUUAUAUCAGAAGAUGCUAUCUUGAAUGGUUUGUCAGGAUGUCAGUUUCUUCUGUUGAAAGGGAAGGAAGAUAGCUCAGUUGCUUCUCCAUGUGUGUGCAGCAGAACAGUCGUUAAGAGCGGAGCGCACUCGCUGCCACCUCUGCAAGGGCAUUAGUGUGGCUCUGCUCCCAGGUAUCACUCUAGGCAAGGCCUCCCUGAGUACCUCAAAUCACAGGCUCUGGGUAUGCCCCGUGCAGCUCUGCUGCUGGGCACACAGCCAGGGGGAUGUGACUUACUGUGAGACUCAGCUAGCUUGGACCAGGCGCCAGGACCCGUUUCUCCUUCUGCUGUUUGUGGAGUAGCUGUACUACAGGAUAUCCAUAACCUCCUAAAGCAGAUGGCUUAGUUACACAUGUCUUAGUUGAGGCACCCACACCUGUGAUAACUUAACUUAGUCAAAAUACAAUAUUCAUGGGGUUCAUUGGCUUCCUGUGCACAAAACGGAUAAAGAAAAAUCUUAAGAAGGUCUAGUAUAUUUGAAAAUUCCACUUUUGAAUGUUGGGACUGUAUAUAAACGUUUCCUGGAAUCUUUUGUGUUUCCCCUCUGUUCCUGUUUGUGGUAAUACUGACUCCAUUAAAUAUGCAGUGACUUGAAGAGGCUUCAGGAUAUAUUUUUGAGAGGCUGGAACUCCAAUAUCUCUCUGUUGAAGAUAGCAUAGGAUUAUGUAUAUUGCAUUGAUAACUGCAAUUACUUAUGCUUCCAGAAAGAAUCCCAAUCUGGAUGUGUGUAGCAAGCACACAGUUUCAGAUGUUUUAGUGGAAACUGUUGGAACACCUGAUGUCACAAACUUACAGCUGUUAUUCCCAUAAAGGGUGUAACAUUUUGUCUGAUAGAGGGAAGAUUUAGCUGUCUCAUUUUUAAUAAAAGCUGCCUGGAUUUUUCCUCUCCAUGUUACUAGAAAAUACCCAAUUUAAAUGUCUUCUACUCAGCAAAAAUAACAUGUCAACUGGUAGUACAUUGAAUAUGGGCAUAAAUUUAGGAGGAAUGACAUGACUGAGAGCUACGAUGCAGUGAAAUUUCUAAUGUUUCAUUUGCUAAGUGGAAGUAGGGAAAAGGGCAGCACAGUCUUUGUGGCAGUUUGUGUAUUGGGACAUUCUAAGGCAGGUCUAGAACCCUUGGUUUAGUCUGGAGUAUGCAGAACUUCUGGUUUGUCUGUCCAGAUUGACCAAAGAAGGAAUCAGUAGUGCGGACUACUGGAAAUUAAAAUAACUUAUUGCUGUGCCAAGAGUUGGAUUUUCUUCAAAUGCAUCCUGAAUUUAUGGGAAGAGAUGUUUUUGAGCAAGCUUUGUUGUUUCCCUUAUCUGUAAGCAGAAUAAAUAGCAAACUCUUGUCCUCAUAAUGUAGGCUCUGUGGACUCACUUUCAAUAACUAUAGGCUUCCAAGUAAAAUCUGUAUUUUUCCAUCAUUUAAUUACUAAAUCUUAAGGCACUAGCAUUAUCUUCUCUUCAUAAAGUAUCACAAUAUAGAGGCUACCUGAUGUGUUAAAAUUAAAUUUUAUACGCCAUUGCUAAACAAACAAAUUCUUGCGUCUCUGGCCCCAAAAAAGUUAAUUGGGAUCUUAGUGGGUCACCCUAUUUUUCCCUGAUAAAAAACAAGGCUUCCUCUGGUACCUGGAUUUGACAAUAACUGGUAUGUUGGUUUCUCCAGCUUUGAAAUGUCAUGUUAACAAAUAAUGCUUGUUUGAGAAAAAAACAAAACCAAAACCACUUGGCAUGUAGUUGUAGACUCUUGGAAGAUUAAUGUGAAGAAUCUUCUACUUUGGGAUGAUAUCAUUCAGUAGAUAAGGCUGUGAGAUAGGUGCUAGAUAACAUACUGAAAGUGAUAGGCAUGAAAGAAUCAUCAUUAAAAUCUGCAGCAUUGCUAUCAGGUGUUUGUCUACAAUGCCCUAGCAUUUUGUCUGGAAUUUAGUUCUGAUUUUAUUUCAGGAGUGCUUGUGCCAUUGAGAUUUCCAUAACUGAGAAUAAUCAAAACACCUGGGGGUAAAACUAGUUACCCUCUAUCUGUUUUUGUUUAAAGAUAAAUAGUUUCUACUUUAGAAUGCUGAAUAUUUGCAUAUUGGUGAGAAGCAGAAAUUGUUUGGUUUAGUUCUAAAGGGCUCUAACAGGGCAAUAGCUGAAAUGCUUGACACUCCCAAGGUUUGCAGCCUUCCUGUUUCUGAAUUAACAGUUAACUGUCAGGAGAUACUUGAUUAAAAUGAGCAGUAAAAGGAAUAAGAACAUGCUGAUACAUCUUCCUUGCAGUCCAGUUACUGGUCAUUGAUCAGAAGUGCCUGGAGAGCAGCACCUGAAGAUGGCUAGUUAGGGAAAACACCUUGGUGACAGGAGAUAUUUGUAUGGAUAAUGGCUCAUUAGAAAUGUUCUUAUUUUAGUGUUUGGGGCAAAGGAUACUCCAUUUUAGAUAUGGGCUGGAGAGAAUAUCUACCAUGCAUUUUCUUACAGCAUUCAAAACUGCCCAACACUUUUUCAUUAAGAAAAUCUCUCUGCUCCUUCUAGGUUCCACAGACUUUGGAAAUGUUACAUUUGUAGUCCCUGGGAUUCAUCCUUAUUUUUAUAUUGGCUCUGAUGCAUUGAAUCAUACUGAGCAGUACACAGAAGCUGCAGGGUCACAGACUGCUCAGUUCUACGCCUUGCGCACAGCAAAAG
This is an RNA transcript of Passer domesticus (house sparrow), 3787 nucleotides long. It is a transcript of the gene named peptidase M20 domain containing 2, with no coding region annotated. The record is from RefSeq and is a predicted model, not a curated record. The transcript is spliced from 7 exons. NCBI's taxonomy places the organism in Eukaryota, Metazoa, Chordata, Aves, Passeriformes, Passeridae.